Molecule: ribosomal RNA, 253 nt
Filed under: uncultured bacterium
Lineage: Bacteria
Description: partial 16S ribosomal RNA
Rfam family: Bacterial small subunit ribosomal RNA
Source: RNAcentral
UACGUAGGGUCCGAGCGUUGUCCGGAAUUACUGGGCGUAAAGAGCUCGUAGGUGGUUUGUCGCGUUGUUCGUGAAAACUCACAGCUCAACUGUGGGCGUGCGGGCGUGACGGGCAGACUGGAGUACUGCAGGGGAGACUGGAAUUCCUGGUGUAGCGGUGGAAUGCGCAGAUAUCAGGAGGAACACCGGUGGCGAAGGCGGGUCUCUGGGCAGUAACUGACGCUGAGGAGCGAAAGCGUGGGGAGCGAACAGG